UACGGAGGGGGCUAGCGUUGUUCGGAAUUACUGGGCGUAAAGCGCACGUAGGCGGUGGCGCAUGUCAGAUGUGAAAGCCCCGGGCUUAACCUGGGAAUUGCAUUUGAAACUGCGCCGCUAGAGGCCGGAAGAGGGUAGUGGAAUUCCCAGUGUAGAGGUGAAAUUCGUAGAUAUUGGGAAGAACACCAGUGGCGAAGGCGGCUACCUGGUCCGGUUCUGACGCUGAGGUGCGAAAGCGUGGGGAGCAAACAGG
Molecule: ribosomal RNA, 253 nt
Filed under: uncultured prokaryote
Description: partial 16S ribosomal RNA
Rfam family: Bacterial small subunit ribosomal RNA
Source: RNAcentral